CCUACGGGGUGCAGCAGUGGGGAAUAUUGGGCAAUGGGCGCAAGCCUGACCCAGCAACGCCGCGUGAAGGACGAAGGCUUUCGGGUUGUAAACUUCUUUUCUCAGGGACGAAGCAAGUGACGGUACCUGAGGAAUAAGCCACGGCUAACUACGUGCCAGCAGCCGCGGUAAUACGUAGGUGGCAAGCGUUAUCCGGAUUUACUGGGUGUAAGGGGCGUGGAGGCGGGAGAGCAAGACAGAUGGGAGAACCAUGGGCUCAAGCGGUGAACUGCAUUUGAAACUGUUUUUCUUGAGUGCUGGGGAGGCAGACGGAAUUCCUAGUGUAGCGGUGAAAUGCGUAGAUAUUAGGAGGAACACCAGUGGCGAAGGCGGUCUGCUGGACAGCAACUGACGCUGAGGCGCGAAAGCGUGGGGAGCAAACAGGAUUAGAUACCCGGGUAGUC
Molecule: ribosomal RNA, 443 nt
Filed under: uncultured bacterium
Lineage: Bacteria
Description: partial 16S ribosomal RNA
Rfam family: Bacterial small subunit ribosomal RNA
Source: RNAcentral